UACAUGUGGGGCAAGCGUUGUUCGGAAUUACUGGGCUUAAGGGUGCGUAGGUGGCUUGUUAAGUCAGGGGUGAAAGUUUUCGGCCCAACCGGAAAAUGGCCUUUGAUACUGGCGAGCUCGAGUGCGUGAGGGGUAACCGGAACGAGCAGUGUAGCGGUGAAAUGCGUAGAUAUUGCUCGGAAGGCCAACGGCGAAGGCAGGUUACUGGUGCGCAACUGACACUGAGGCACGAAAGCGUGGGGAGCAAACAGG
RNAcentral lists this ribosomal RNA (252 nucleotides) under uncultured bacterium. Its description in RNAcentral is "partial 16S ribosomal RNA". It matches the Rfam family "Bacterial small subunit ribosomal RNA", at positions 524 to 776 of the family's 1533-position model. The record is from RNAcentral.